RNAcentral lists this long non-coding RNA (335 nucleotides) under Elaeis guineensis (African oil palm). RNAcentral's name for it is "long non-coding RNA (EGUI_LNC050563)". Lineage: Eukaryota; Viridiplantae; Streptophyta; Magnoliopsida; Arecales; Arecaceae. The record is from RNAcentral.
UAAACCGAAGGUGGGGUUGCUCCUGCAAGACCCUCCGACGCUCAAGUCAGUUCUCUGCCUCAACAAGAAUGGAGCGCUCGAACGGAGAAUUUAGCAGAGUUUUUAGAUAAAAAGAUGAGAGCUUAGAUAAUAACGUAUCUGGGGUUCCCCUUUUUAUAGGCGGAGGGUGCCACAGACUGAUAGCGACGUUCGUAAUCAUCUGGUAGUGGGUCGCCCAUAGUCAGGCAAAAUUUAUUGCGAAGGGUAGUGGAGCGGAAUCGUGGCUAUUGCCGUAGCUCGCCAUGUGGAAUCAGUUGCGAGGAGUGGAGCAGCGUCCGUUGUCGUGACUUGCCAGC